CUGGCGGCGUGCCUAAUACAUGCAAGUCGAGCGGACCGACGGGAGCUUGCUCCCUUAGGUCAGCGGCGGACGGGUGAGUAACACGUGGGUAACCUGCCUGUAAGACUGGGAUAACUCCGGGAAACCGGGGCUAAUACCGGAUGCUUGUUUGAACCGCAUGGUUCAAACAUAAAAGGUGGCUUUUCGCUACCACUUACAGAUGGACCCGCGGCGCAUUAGCUAGUUGGUGGGGUAACGGCUCACCAAGGCGACGAUGCGUAGCCGACCUGAGAGGGUGAUCGGCCACACUGGGACUGAGACACGGCCCAGACUCCUACGGGAGGCAGCAGUAGGGAAUCUUCCGCAAUGGACGAAAGUCUGACGGAGCAACGCCGCGUGAGUGAUGAAGGUUUUCGGAUCGUAAAACUCUGUUGUUAGGGAAGAACANGUACCGUUCGAACAGGGCGGUACCUUGACGGUACCUAACCAGAAAGCCACGGCUAACUACGUGCCAGCAGCCGCGGUAAUACGUAGGUGGCAAGCGUUGUCCGGAAUUAUUGGGCGUAAAGCGCGCGCAGGCGGUUCUUUAAGUCUGAUGUGAAAGCCCCCGGCUCAACCGGGGAGGGUCAUUGGAAACUGGGGAACUUGAGUGCAGAAGAGGAGAGUGGAAUUCCACGUGUAGCGGUGAAAUGCGUAGAGAUGUGGAGGAACACCAGUGGCGAAGGCGACUCUCUGGUCUGUAACUGACGCUGAGGCGCGAAAGCGUGGGGAGCGAACAGGAUUAGAUACCCUGGUAGUCCACGC
RNAcentral lists this ribosomal RNA (783 nucleotides) under uncultured bacterium. RNAcentral's name for it is "bacterial SSU rRNA". It matches the Rfam family "Bacterial small subunit ribosomal RNA", at positions 36 to 800 of the family's 1533-position model. The record is from RNAcentral.